GCUCCGGUGGUGUAGAGACUGAUGAAAGUCACACAAUCCGGUUAAGCAUUUCGCCCUCUCAAGGCGACGAUCCCGGGUUCAAAUCCCGGCCGGAGCA
RNAcentral lists this transfer RNA (97 nucleotides) under Candidatus Nitrosocosmicus franklandianus. Its description in RNAcentral is "Candidatus Nitrosocosmicus franklandus Pseudo tRNA". It matches the Rfam family "tRNA". From Rfam's summary of the family: Transfer RNA (tRNA) molecules are approximately 80 nucleotides in length. Their secondary structure includes four short double-helical elements and three loops (D, anti-codon, and T loops). Lineage: Archaea; Thermoproteati; Nitrososphaerota; Nitrososphaeria; Nitrososphaerales; Nitrososphaeraceae. The record is from RNAcentral.